RNAcentral lists this ribosomal RNA (369 nucleotides) under Triticum aestivum (bread wheat). Its description in RNAcentral is "partial small subunit ribosomal RNA". Lineage: Eukaryota; Viridiplantae; Streptophyta; Magnoliopsida; Poales; Poaceae. The record is from RNAcentral.
AUGGGCGUGUUGUGCAAUGCCGACGGCGGCGGGCCUAACAACUUGUCUGCGGCCCUCGGCGCCUCGCUGGACGGCUGGUGCUCAGUGAGUCACCGACACAAAACCUGUCCGUACCCAUCCCGCCUCAGUUUGGCGGCUUGCCGGCGCUCACGCACCUCGACCUCAGCAACAAUGCGCUCACUGGCCCGUCCCGGCGAAGCCGAACGGAACGCCUAUAUUAUUCUCUGCCGAAUGUUUUCGUGUGCUCCUGUUCGCUUAUGCAGACCAGGGAGCAAACUGGAGAGCCUCGCCGUCAACUCCAACCACCUCGAGGGCGCCAUCCCGGACGCCAUUGGCGACCUCACGGCGCUGCGCGAGCUCAUGUUCUAG